UGGAGUUUGAUCCUGGCUCAGGAUGAACGCUUGCAAUAUACAUAACACAUGCUAGUCGAAUGUUGAUAAAACAUGGCGCACGGGUGCGUAACACAUAAGAAUCUGCCUUAAGGUUUAGAAUAAUCAUAGUUAAGAAUUUACUUAACUAGAAAAUACUAAAUAUUCAAAGAUUAAAUAUCGCCUUAUGAUGAGCUUGUGUAGGAUUAGGUAGUUGGUAGGGUAAAAGCCUACCAAGCCGAUGAUCCUUAGUUGGUCUGAGAGGAUGAUCAGCCACACUGGGACUGAGAUAAGGCCCAGGCUUUUGCCAGCAGUGAGGAAUAUUGGACAAUGGGCGAAAGCUUGAUCCAGUAAUAUUGCGUGAAUGAGGACAGCGCUAAAGAUUUAAACGUGAGUUUAAAUUGGUUGUAAAGUUCUUUCGUUAGUGAGGAUAAUGACUGUAACUAAAGAAGAAAUCCCGGCUAACUUCGUGCCAGCAGCCGCGGUAAUACGAAGGGGAUGAGCGUUAUCCAAAAUGAUUGGGCGUAAAGGGUUCGUAGGUUGUAAUUGUUGUCAUUCGUGAAAGUUUGAUUUUGUCAAAAAUGCGCUUGAUACAUAUUUACUUGAGUAUAUUAGGGGAUAAUAGAAUUCUAUAUGGAAGGGUGAAAUCUAUAGAUAUAUGGAGGAAUGCCAGAGGCGAAAGCGAUUAUCUAGAAUAUAUACUGACACUGAGGAACGAAAGCAUGGGGAGCAAACAGGAUUAGAUACUCUGGUAGUCCAUGCUGUCAAUUAUGAAUGCUGACAUUGGGAGUUUUCUGAUGUUAAGUUAACACGUUAAGCAUUCCGCCUGGGGAGUACGGUCGCAAGAUUGGAACUCAAAGGAAUUGACGGGAGUCUAUACGAGUGGUGGAGCAUGUGGUUUAAUGCGAUAAUACGCGCGAAAUCUUACCAGUUCUUGCAUAUAAUUUUAAAUUCUAUUUAAAGUAGAUAUCUGUUCGAAAUCUGCAAUCAGGUUUAUAACAAAAUUAUACAGGUGCUGCAUGGCUGUCGUCAGCUCGUGCUGUGAAGUGUUUGGUUAAGUCCUAUAACGAGCGCAACUCUUGUUUUAUAUUGUUAAUUGUAUUACUACGUGUAAUCAAAACACUCAUAAAAGACUGCCAAUGAAAAUUGGAGGAAGGUGAGAACGACGUCAAGCCCUUAUGGCCCUUAUGGACUGGGCUACACACGUGCUACAAUGGUAAAUACAAAAAGUUCUACAAUAAAGCGAUUUGGAGUAAAUCUUAAAAAGUUACCGUGUACAGAUUGAAGACUGCAAUUCGUCUUCAUGAAGGUGGAAUCACAAGUAAUCGUAAAUCAGCAUGUUACGGUGAAUAUGUACUUAGACUUUGCACACACCGCCCGUCACAUGCUAGGAGUAAGCUUUGUUUGAAAUAUUAGCCUAUUCUAUAAAAAUUUAUUUUGUUAACAACAUUUAAAUUUUUUAUUUUGUAAAGCUAAUAUUAUUAUAGGGUUUGUAACUGGGAUGAAGUCGUAACAAGGUAGUCGUAUGGGAACAUGUGGCUGGAAUA
Molecule: ribosomal RNA, 1544 nt
Filed under: Pedobacter sp.
Lineage: Bacteria; Pseudomonadati; Bacteroidota; Sphingobacteriia; Sphingobacteriales; Sphingobacteriaceae
Description: bacterial SSU rRNA
Rfam family: Bacterial small subunit ribosomal RNA
Source: RNAcentral